AUUCUCCACUUUGAUCCAUUCUGUGUGCAGUGCCCUAUCCAGUAAGGUACUGAUCACUUAGACUAUAUGGGAUCAGUGCCUGUCUGGGUGGAGUAAUGCUUGACAGGAACAACAUUUGGGAGGGUCUUCAGACUGGUGCUGGGGAUGAAAUGCAUGUUUCCUUGAGCUGCUAAACUUGAGCUCUAGACGUCCCUUGGAAGGAACUGGGUCUGAUCUGGGUCACCCUUAAAAUGAUUUCCGUGGUCCAUUCCUAACAAUGCCAACAACUAUGAAUUAGAGUACAUGAAGAUAUUUCCUAAUAGAAAGAGAGAAAGGAGGAGCAAGCUGCUUCACCACAUACAGCAGGUGAGGUGAUCCCCAUUAAGGGAUGUUUGCAAAUUGGAGGGCAGUUGGUCAGCAUUGUCUAGAGUGACAUAAAAAUCUUGAGUACCACCACCAUGAAUUGUGAGGAGAGUCAUGAAAGCUACAUUAGAGAGUGCGAAGGCGACUGGACAGGUCCUGUGCCUUGAGCCAUGCUAUGUGUAGGGCCCUGUGAAGAAUGCUGCUGAUUAAUUAGAUUAUGUUUACUUGGUGCCUUCUGGGUAGUGAUGCUCAACAAGAAAAAGAUUUGUGGUGGAUUUAGGACCAGCAGUUGGAGUGAAGCUCAGGUGUUGUUGAGCUUCCUGUCGACUUCAGGAGGGCCCUGGAAUCCACCUGGAUCUCAGGCAUCCUCAAGAAGAUAGCUGUGGUCCGUUCCUAACAUUGUGAACACGUACAGGCUACAGAAGAUGAAGAUUAUUCCUAAUAGAAGAAUAGAAAACAGAGGAAGCAUGUCAACUCGGGUCGUUAGAGUCAUCCAGGUAAAUCAAGAGCAGGGAAGCAGGUCCCCACUGAGGUAGAGAGUUAAGACGGAUGGCAGAGGGUCAGUGUUUUCUAGGGUUAUGGAAAAAUCUUGUGUACAGUCAUUAUCACGUGGUGGGGAGAGAAUGAAAGCUUCAUCUGAGAUUAGGAGAACGACUGGGCAGAUCCUUCACCUUGAGCCAUGCUGUGUGCAGUGCCCUACCCACAAGGUACUGAUCUCGUAGACUAUGUGUAAUUAGUACCUUUCCGGCAACUGUAAUGCUCCACCAGAAUAUGUGUGGAAGCCUUCAGACCAGUGCUGGGGAUGGAGAUGCAUGUGUACUUGAGUUGUGGACUUUGCCCUCAGGAGGGCCCUGACAGCCACCUGUGCUUGAUCUCAGGCAUCCUACAGAGGAUUCCUGUUGUCCAUUCCUAACUAUGUGAACACCUGGAGGUUAAGGAAGACAAAGAUUGUUCCUAAUAAGAAAGAGGAGCAAGCCUUUUCUCUCUGGGUCCUUGUAAUUAUCUAGGUAACCGUAGAACAGGAGAGGUGAUCCCAAGUGUGAGACGGUUGCAAGUUGGAUGGCAAUGGGUCAGAAUUGUCUAAAGUUAUGGAAAAAUCUUGGGGAAAGUCAUCAUAAUGUGGUGGAGAGUCAUGAUACCUACAUUUGAGAGUGCGAAGGAGUCUGGACAGGUCAUCCACCUUGAGCCAUAUGGCGUGCAGUGACCUGCCCAGGAUGUUGCUGUUUACUUAGACUACGUGCAUUCAGUGCCUUGUGGGAAGAGUGAUGUUCAACAAGAAGAAUGUUUUGGUGGACUUAGGAGGAAUGAUGGGAAUGGAGCCUCAGCUGUUCUUGAACAUCCUGCCUUGCCCUCAGAGGGGUCUGGCAACAGCCUGGAACUCAGGCAUCCUCAAGGAUGUUGCUGUGGUCCAUUCUUAGAUUGUGAAGAGCUAAAGGUUAGAGAAGAUUAAGAUUAUUCCUAAUAGCAGAAUAGAAACCUGAAGGAAGAUUGUGGUCUCUGGAGCAACAUCAUCAUCCAGGUGAAAAGAGAGUAGGUGGCCGAUCCCCACUAAGUAAGAGAAUCAAGUUGAAUGGCAUUGAGUAUGUAUUUUAUAGGGUAAUGGGAAAAUCUUGUGUACAGUCAUCAAGACAUGAUGGGGAGAGAACAAAAGCUUCAUCUGAGAGUGCAAGGAUAAUUAACUAGUUCCUUCAACUUGAGCCAUGCUGUGUGCAGUGCCCUACCCGGUAGGUACUGAUCACUUAGCCUACGUGUAAUUAGUACCUGUCUGGGUAGAGUAAGGCCAACAAGAACAACAUUUGAGGAGGCAUUCAGACCAGUGAAUAAGAUGGAGAUGCAUUGGGCCUUGAGUUGUGUGCUUUGCACUCAGGAGGGUCCUGACAGCCACGUUGGUUUGAUCUCAGGCAUCCUAGAGAGGAUUGCUGUCACUGGGUCCUAAGUAUGUGAACACCUGCAGGUUAUAGAAGAAGAUUCUUCCAAAAAGGAAAGAGGAGCAAGCUUGUUCUCUCUCUAGGUCCUCAUAAUUACCCAAGUAAGCAUAGAAGAGGAGAGGUGAUCCCCAGUGAGAGAGGAGUGCAAGUUAGAGGCAGUGAAUGGGCACUGUCCAAGGUUAUUGAAACAUCUUGUAUACAGUCAUCUUGAUGUGGGGAGAGAGAUGAGGGCUCCAUUGGAGAGGGCGAGUGGAUUGGGCAGGUUCUCUCAAUUUAGCCAUGCUGUGUGCAGUGUCCUACUCAGAAAGCUGGUGAUCGCUUAGACUACGUGUAGUUGCUACCUUCCUGGGUGGAGUGAUGCUUGACAGGAACAAGCUGGGUGGUGGCUAGUAGCAGUGAUGGAAGUGGAGCUGCAGGUAUCCUUGAGCUGGUCUGCCUUGCACUCAGGAGGGCCCUGACAACAACCUGGAUCUCAGGCAUCCUCAAGAUGAUUUCAGUGGGCCAUUCCUACCAGCGUGAUCUCUUCCAGGUUAGAGAAGAUGAAAAGAGUUCCUAAUAGAAGAUGGGAAAAUAGGGGCAAGCUUGUUCUCUGUGGAUCCUCAGGAUCAUCUGGUAGAGAUAGAACAGGUGAGGGGAUUCUCACUGAGAGAGGGUUGCGUUUGGAGGGCACCGGGUCUCUCUUGUCUAGGGUUGUAGAAAAACUUGGGUACAGUCCUUGUGACACUCUUGGGACAGAGAUGAAAGGUACUUUUGGGCAGAUCCUCCACUUUGAGCCAUUCUGUGUGCAGUGCCCUACCCGGUAAGGUAGUGAUCACUUAGAUGAGGUGUGAUCACUGCCUGUCUGGGUGGAGUAACGCACAACAGGAACAAUGUUUGGGAGGGUCUUCAGACUGGUGCUUGGGAUGGAGAUGGAUGUGUCCGCGAGGUGAUGCCUCCAACUCUGGGGGGCUGUGCAGUCAUCAUGGUUGAAUCUCAGGUAUUCACAUGAUGAUUUCCAUUUUCCGUUCCUAACAAAAUCCACUCCUGUAUCAUUGAGAGGAUGAAGGCACCAGCUUAGAGAAAUGUAAAUUUCGUAUGACUGUGCAAGGGUCAUUGCGAGGGUCAUCCACCUUGAAGCCAUGCUUCAGGAACUGUCCAGACAAGAAUGGUGCUCGUCAUUAAGACUACAUGUAAUUAGUGCAUGUCUGGGAUGGGUGAUGCUCAACACCACAAUGUUUGUGGUGGCCUUUGUAUGAGUGAUGGGGGUGGAGAUGGGUCCUUGAGCUGCCUAAUUUGAACUCACUAGGGACAUGGCUGCCAACUGAAUGCCAUGUAUGCAUCAUAUGGUUUGAUUGGUCCAUUCGUAAUAAUGAUAAUGUUUAGGGGUUAGAUUAGAUAAAGAUAUUUCCUAUGAGAGGAAGAGAGAAUUAGGAGCCAGCUUGUUCUCUCUGAAACCUCUUACUCAUCCAAGUAAACACAGAGGAGGGGAGGUGAUCCCAACAUCGGGAGCAUUGGAAGUUGGAGUGCAGUGGGCCAGCAUUGUUUGAGAUUAUGGAAAAAUCUUGGGUACAGUCAUCAUGACAUGGUGGGGAGACAACAAAUGCUUCCACUGAGAGUGUGAGGAAGACUGGGCAGAUGCACCACCUUGAGCCAUGCUGUGUGCGGUGCAGUAUCCAGAAGGUACUGAUCACUCAGCCUGCGUGUAAUUAGUACCUGUCUGGGUAGAGUAACGCUCAACAAGAACAACAUUUGUGGAGGCCUUCAUACUGGUGAAUAGGAUAGAGAUGUAUUUCUUCUUCAGGUGUGUGCUUUGCCAUCAGGUGGGCCCUGACAGCUACAUGGGUUCGAUCUCAGGCAUCCUACAAAGAAUGGCUAUUAUCCUUUCCUAAAUAUGUGAACACUGAUAGGUUAGAGAAGACUAAGAUUAUUUCUGAUAAGAAAGAUGAGCAAGCCUGUAGUGUCUGGGUCCUUGUAAUUGUCCUGGUAAACGUAGAAGAGGUGAGGUGAUCCCCAGUGAGAGAGGAGUGCAGUUUGGAGGGCAGUGGGUGGGCAGUGUCCAGGGUUAUGGAAACGUCUCAUGUACGGUCAUCAUGAUGUGGGGAGAGAGAUGAGGGCUACAUUGGAGAGGGUAAGUGGGAUGGGGCAGGAUCUCCCACUUCAGCCAUGUUGUGUGCAGUGUCCUACUCGGAAAACUACUGAUCACUUAGAGGACAUGUAGCAACAGCCUUUCUGGGUAGAAUGAUGUUCAACAAGAACAACAUUGCUGGUGGCCGGUAGCAGUGACAGGAGUGGAGCUUCAGGUAUCCUUGAGCUGGCCUGCCUUGUUAUCAGGGGAUUCCUGAUAGCCACCUGGAUCUCAGGCAUCCUCAAGAUGAUUUCAGUGGGCCAUUCCUACCAGCGUGCUCUCGUACAGGUUAGAGAAGAUGAAAAGACUUCUUAAUAGAAGAAGAGAAAAUAGGAACAAGCUUGCUCUGUGUGGCUCCUCUUAGUCAUCCGCUAAACAUAGAGCAGGUGAGGGGAUUCUCACUGUGGAAAGGUUGCUGUUGGAGGGCACUGGGUCUUCAUUGUCUAGGGUUAUAGAAAACCUUGGCUGCAGUCACUGUGACAUGCUUGGGACACAGAAGUGAAAGGUACUUUUGAGGAUGUGAGGAGAACUGGGCAGAUUCUCCACUUUGAUCCGUUCUGUGUGCAGUGCCCUACCCAGCAAGGUACUGAUCGCUUAGACGAGGUAUGAUCAGUGCCUGUCUGGGUGGAGUAAUGCUCAACAAGAACAACAUUUGGGAGGUUAGUCAGACUGGUGCUGGGGAUGGAAAUGGAUGUGUCCGUAAGGUGCCUGCCUCCAACUCUGGGGGGUCGUGCAGCCUCCCUGGUUGGAUCUCAGGUAUCCACAUGAUGAUUUCUGCCUUCGUUUGCUAACAAUAUGAACCCCUGUGAAUGUUUGAGAGAAUGAAGAUAUUGGCUUAUAGAAAUGUAAAUUUCGUAUGACAGUGCGAGUGGCAUUGUGUCGAUCCUCCAGCUUGAAGCCAUAUUUCAGGCUCUGUGCAGCUCAGAGUGACACUCAUCAUUUCGACUACAUGAAAUUGGUACCAGUCUGAGAAGAGUGAUGCUCAGCCAAAUGACAUUUGUGGCGGCCUUUGCAUGAGUGCUAGGGUUGGAGGUGGGUCCUUGAGCUGCCUAACUUGAACUCACUAGGGCCAUGGCUGCCAACUGAAUCCCCUGCAUCCACCAUAUGAUUUCAUUGCUCCAUUCGUAAUAAUGUGAAUGUUUAGAGGUCAGAGUAGAUGAAGUUAUUUCCUAGGAGAAGAAGAGAAAAUAGGAGCAAGCUUGUUCUCUCUGGGAUCUCACAGUCGUCAAAGUACAGGCAGAGGUGACGUGAUCCCCAUGUCAGAAGCGUUGGAAGUUGCAGGGCUGUGGGUCAGCAUUGUCUAAGGUUAUGGAAUAAUCUUAGCUACAGUCAUCAUGAUGUGGUGGGGAGAGUCACAAAACCCACACCGGACAGCAUGAAGGGGACUGGGCUGUUCCUCCACCUUGAGCCAUGCGGUGUGCAGUGCCCUGGCCAGAAUGGUGUCGAAUGCUCAGCCUACAUGUAUUCGGUGCCUUCUGGGUAGCAUAGUGCUCAACAUGACCGACGUUCUUGAUAGCCUUAUGACCAGUGUUUAGAGUGGAGCUUCAGGUGUUGUUGAGCUUUCUGCCUUGACCUUAGAAGGCCGUGCAUCCACCUGCAUCACAGCCUUCCUCAUGAUGAUGUAGUCUGUUCCUAACGUGGUGAAACCUACAGGUUAGAAAAAGUGAAGAUUAUUCCACAUACAAGGAUAGAAAAGCGGAUGAAGCUUGUCCUCUCUCGAUCCACAUCUUCCAUAUAAAUAUUAGCAGGUGAGCUGAUCCCCACGGAGGAAGAUAGUUCAGUUAGAUGGCAGUGAAUAUUUGCUAGGGUUCUGGAAAUACUUUAUGUACAGUCAACAUGUUAUGCUGGGAGAGUAUGAAAGCUUCAUCUGAGAGUGCAAGAAGGACUGGGCAGAUCCUCCACCCUGAGCCAUGUCAUGUGCAGUGCCCUGCCGGGAAGGUACUGAUCACUUAGCAUAUGUGUAAUUAGUACCUGUCCGGGUAGAGUAAUGCUCAAGAAGACCAUCAUUUUUGGAGACCUUCUGCCUGGUAUUGGAGAUGGAGAUGCAUGUGUGCUUGAGUCAUUGCCUUGAACUCAGGAGGGCCCUGCCUGACAGGCACGUGGGUUUGAUCUCAGGUGUCCUGAAAAUGAUUGGUUUCAUUCGUUCCUAUGUUAACUCCUAAACAUUGCAGAAAAUUAAGAUUUUUCCCAAUAGAAAAUAGGCAUAUGCUUGUUCUCUCUGUGUCCUCAUUAUUAUUCAGGGAGACCUAAAGCGGGUGUGGUGACGCCCACUCAGAAGGGGAAGUAUGUUGGAGGGCAUUGGGUCAACGUUUUCUAGGCUUAUGGUGAAUUCUUGGGAACAGUCAUGAUGUGGUGGGGAUGAAGAGGAAAUGAACCUUUGAGAGUGCGAGGGGCAUUGGGUUUGACCUGCACCUUGAGCUAUGCUGUAUUCAAUGCAUUGCCCAGAAUGGUGCCGACUAUUUUGAAUACGUGUAGUCAGUGCCUUCUAGGUAGGGUGAUGCUUGUCCAAACAAUGUUUUGCUGACAUCCAUGUGGAUCUAAGGCAUCCUCAAGAUGAUUGCUGUGGUCAGUUCCUAACAACGUGUACUCCCACAAGUUAGAGAAGAUGAAGAUGAUUUCUAAUGGAAGAAUAGAGAACUGGAGGAAGGUUUUUCUCUCUGCGUCCUCAUAGUCAUGCGGGUAAAUAGAGAGCAUUGAGCCUACCCCAAGGAGGAAAAGAAUCAAAUUGGAUGGCAAUGUGUCAGUGUUUUCCAGGAUUAUGAAAAAUCUUGUGUAUGGUCAACAUGUUGUGAGGAGAGAGAUCAAAGCACCAUUUGAGAGUAUGAGGUGGAAUGUUCAGGUUCUAUGUAUUUAGCCGUGAUGUGUGCAGUGUCCUACCCAGAAAUGUACUGAUCACUUAGACUACAUGUAUUUGGUGCCUUUCUGGGUAGAGUGAUGCUCAACAGGAACAACAUUGGUGGCAGCCAGUAACAGUGAUAGGAGUGGAGCUGUGGGUAUCCUUGAGGUGGCCUGCCUUGCACUCAGGAGUGCCCUGACAGCCACUUAGAUUUCAGGCAUCCUCAUGAUGAUUUCAGUGGACGAUUCAUACCAACGUGAUCUCGUGCAGGUUAGAGAAGAUGAAAAGACAUCCUAAGAGAAGAAGAGAAAAUAGGGACAAGCUUGUUCAUUGUGGAUCCUCAUAAUUGUCUUGUACACAUAGAACAGGCAAGGAGAUUCUCAGUGUGGGAGGGUUGCAGUUGGAGGGCAGUGGGUUGUCACUGUCUAGGGUUAGAGAACCACAUGAACAUAGUCAUCGUGACCUGGUGGGGACAGCAGUGAGAGCGGUGAGAGAAUCUGUGGGGAAUGGGUCAGGUCUUCCACUGGAGCCAUUCUUUGUGUAGUGCCCUACCCAUAAAGGUACGGAUCACUGAGGCUAUUUGUAAACGUGCCUGUCUGGGUAGAUUAAGACUCAACAGGAAAAAGGUCUGAGAUUGCCUUCAGUCUGGUGAUAGGGAUGAAAUGUAUGUUUCUUUGAGCUGCUGAUCCAGAGUACAAGAGGUCCCUUUCAGCUAACUGGGUCUGAACUCAGUCAUCUUGUAUAUGAUGUCAGAGCUCCGUUCAUAACAAUGCACACACUAAUGAGUUAGAGUAGAAGAAGAUACCUUCUAACAGAAAGAGACAAAACAUGAGCAAGCUUGUUCUCCCUGGGAAUUCAUAAUUGUCCAUGUAAACAGGGAGGAGGUGAGGUGAUUCCCACUAGGGAGGUUUGCAAGGUGGAGGGCAGUGGGUUAGUAUUAUCUAGGGUCAUGGAAGAAUCUAGACUACAAUCAUAAGGAUUUGAUGGGGAGAGUUAUGAAAUAUACAUUUGCGAGUGCAAGGCGGACUGUGCCCGUCCUCCACCUUGAGCCAUUUUGUGUGCAGCGCCCUGCCCAGAAUGGUUCCGAUUACGUAGAUUAAGUGUAGUCGGUGCCAUCUGGGUAGAGCGAUGCUCAACAUGAACAACGUUUGGGGUGUCUUUCAGAGCAGGUGUGGGAGUGGAGAUUGAGGUGUUGUGGAGCUUCCUGCCUUGACCUCAGGAGGGCCCUGGCAUCCACCUAGGACUCAGGCAUCCUCAAGAUGAUUGCUGUGGUCUCUUCCUUAUCCUGUGAACACCUACAGGUUAGAGAAGAUGAAGAUUAUUCCUAAUAGCAUCAUAGGAAACUAGAGGAAACGAGUCCUCUCUGCAUCCAUAUGUUCAUCCAGGUAAGCAUAGAGCAGGUGAGCAGAUCCCCACUAAGGAAGAGAAUCAAAUUGGAUGGCAGUCAAUCAGUACUUUCUAGGGUUAUGGAAAAAUCUUGUGUACAGUCGUCAUGACAUGGUGGGGAGACAACGAAUGCUUCAUCUGAGAGUGUGUGGAGGACUGGGCAGAUCCUCCACCUUGAGCCAUGCUGUGUGCAGUGCCCUACCCGGAAGGUACUGAUCACUUAGCCUACAUGUAAUUAGUACCUGUCUGGGUAGAGUAAUGCUCAACAAGAACAACAUUUGUGGAGGCCUUCAGACUGGUGAAUGGAGGGAGAUGCAUUUGUCCUUGAGUUUGUGCCUUGAACUCAGCAGGGCCCAGACAGCCACCUGGGUUGAUCUCAGGCAUGCUAGAGAGGAUUGUUGUUGUCCUUUCUUAACUCUGUGAACACCUACAGGUUAGAGAGAGGAAGAUUCUUCCUAAUAGGAAAGAGGAGCAAGCUUGUUCUCUCCGUGUGUCCUCAUAAUUACCCAAGUACACGUAGAAGAGGUGAGGGGAUCCCAAGUGAGAGAGGAGUGCAACUUGGAGGCAGUGGAUGGGCACUGUCCAGGGCUAUUGAAACGUCUUGUGUAAAGUCAUCUUGAUGUGGGGAGAGAGAUGGAGCUCCAUUGGAGAGGGCGAGUGGAUUGGGCAGGUUCUCUCAAUUUAGCCAUGCUGUGUGCAGUGUCCUACUCAGAAAGGUGGUGAUCGCUUAGACUACAUGUAGUUGGUACCUUCCUGGGUGGACUGAUGCUCAACAGGAAGAACCUGGGUGGUGGCUAGUAGCAGUGAUGGAAGUGGAGCUGCAGGUAUCCUUGAGCUGGCCUGUCUUGCAGUCAGCAGGGCCCUGGGAAGCCACCUGGAUCUCAGGCAUCCUCAAGAUGAUUUCAGUGGGUCAUUCCUACCAUCGUGAUCUCGUCCAGGUUAGAGAAGAUGAAAAGAGUUCCUAAUAGAAGAUGAGAAAAUAAGGGCAAGCUUCUUCUCUGUGGCUCCUCAUGAUUGUCUGGUAGAUAUAGAGCAGGUGAGGGGAUUCUCACUGAGGAAGGGUUGCAUUUGGAGGGCACUGGGUCUUUCUUGUAUAGGGUUGUAGAGAAACUUGGGUACAGUCCUUGUGACAGUCUUGGGACAGGGAUGAAAGGUACUUUUGACAAUGUGAGGAGAACUGGGCAGAUUCUCUACUUUGAGCCAUUCUGUGUGCAGUGCCCUACCCAGUAAGGUACUGAUCACUUACUUAGACUACAUGUGAUCAGUGCCUGUCUGGGUGGAGUAAUGCUCUACAAGAGCAACGUUUGGGAGGGUCUUCAGACUCCUCCUGGGAAUGGAGAUGGAUGGGUCUGUAAGGUGCCUGCCUCCAACUCUCGGGGGCCGUGCAGCCACCAUGGUUGGAUCUCAGGUAUCCACAAGAGGAUUUCCGUUUUCCAUUCCCAGCAAUGCAACGCCUGUGUGCUUGAGAGGAUGAAGAUGUCGGCUUAGAUAAAUGUAAAUUUCGUAUGUCUGUGCAAGGGUCAUUGUGAGGGUCCUCCAGCUUGAAGCCAUGCUUCAAGCGCUGUCUGGCACAGCAUGGUGCUCGUCAUUCAGACUACAUUUCAUUAGUACCUGUCUGGGACGAGUGAUGCUCAACCACACAGUGUUGCUGGUGGCCUUUGUAUGAGUGACGGUGGUGGAGAUGGGUCCUUGAGCUGCCUAACUUGAACUCACUAGGGCAGUGGCUGCCAAAUCAAUCCCCUGAAUCCAGGUUAUGACUUCAUUGGUCCUUUCAUAAUAAUGGGAAUGUUUAGGGCUUAUGGUGGAUAAAGGUAUUUCCUACGAGAAGAAGAGAAAAUUAGUAGCAAGCUUGUUCCAUCUGGGACCUGGUAAUCAUCCAAGUAAACACAGAGGAGGGGAGGUGAUCCCCACAUCAGGAGCAUAGGAAGUUGGACGGCAGUGGGUCAUCAUUGUUUGAGGUUAUGGAAAAAUGUUGGGUACAGUCAUCAUGACAUGGUGGGGAGGCAACGAAAGCUUCAUCUGAGAGUGUGAAGAGGACUGGGCAGAUCCUCCACCUUGAGCCAUGCUGUGUGUGGUGCCCUACCCGGAAGGUACUGAUCACCUAGCCUAUGUGUCAUUAGUACCUGUCUGGGUAGAGUAACUCUCAACAAGAACAACAUUUGUGGAGGCCUUCAGACUGCUGAAUGGGAUAGAGAUGCAUUUGUCCUUGAGUUGUGUGCUUUGCCCUCAGGAAGGACCUGUCAGCCACCUGGGUUUGAUCUCAGGCAUCCUACAGAGGAUGGCUGUCGUCAUUUCCUAAAUAUGUGAACACUUUCAGGUUAGAGAAGACUAAGAUUCUUUCUGAUAGGAAAGAGGAGCAAGCCUGUUGUCUCUGGGUCCUUGUAAUUGUCCCGGUAAAUGUGGAGGAGGUGAGGUGAUCCCCAGUGAGAGAGGAGUGCAGCUUGGAGGGCAGUGGGUGGGCACUGUCCCGGGUUAUGGAAAUAUCUUGUGUGCAGUCAUCAUGAUGUGAGGAGAGCAUUGCGGGCUACAUUGGAGAGGGUAAGUGGGAUGGGGCAGGAUCUACCACUUUAGCCGUGCUGUGUGCAGUGUCCUACUCAGAAAGGUACUGAUCACUUAGAGGACAAGUAGUCACUGCCUUUCUGGGUAGAAUGAUGCUCAACAAGAACAACAUUGAUGGUGGCCUGUAGCAGUGACAGCAGUGGAGCUUCAGGUGUCCUUCAGCUAGCCUGCCUUGUAAUCAGGGGAGUCCUGACAGCCACCUGGAUCUCAGGCAUCCUCAAGAUGAUUUCAGUGGGCCAUUCCUACUAGUGUGCUCUCAUAGAGGUUAGAGAAGAUGGAAAAACCUUCCUAAUGCAAGAUGAGGAAGUAGGGACAAGCUUGCUCUGUUUGGAUCCUCUUAGUCAUCCGCUAAACAUAGAGCAGGUGAGGGCAUUCUCACUGUGGGAAGGUUGCUGUUGGAGGGCACUGGCUCUUCAUUGUCUAGGGUUAUAGAAAACCUUGGCUGCAGCUGCUGUGACAUGCUUGGGACAGAGAGAUGAUAGGUACUUUUGAGGAUGUGAGGAGAACUGGGCAGAUACUCCACUUUGAUCCAUUCUGUGUGCAGUGCCCUACCCAGCAAGGUACUGAUCGCUUAGACGAGGUAUGAUCAGUGCCUGUCUAGGUGGAGUAAUGCUCAACAAGAACAACGUUUGGAAGCGUCAUCAGAGUGGUGCUGGGGAUGGAGAUGGAUGUGUCCGUAGGGUGCCUGCCUCCACCUCUGGGGGUCGUGCAGACGCCCUGGUUGGAUCUCGGGUAUCCACAUGAUGACUUCUGUGGUCCGUUCCUAACAAUUUCAAACCCUGUAUGAUGGAGCAAAUGAAGAUACUGGCUUAGAGAAAUGUAAGUUUCAUAUGACAGCACGAGUGGCAUUGUGUCGAUCCUCCACCUUGAUGCCAUACUUCAGGCUCUGUCCAGCCCAGAGUGGCGCUCCUCAUUUCGACUAUAUGUAAUUGGUACCAGUCUGGGAUGGAUGAUGCUCAGCCAAAUGACCUUUGUGGUGGCCUUUGUAUGAGUGCUGGGUGAGCUGCCUAACUUGAACUCCCUAGGGCCAUGGCUGCCAACUGAAUCCCCUGCAUCCACCAUAUGAUUUCAUUGCUCCAUUAGUAAUAAUGUGAAUUUUUAGAGGUCAGAGUAGAUGAAGUUAUUUCCUAGGAGAAGAAGAGAAAAUAGGAGCAAGCUUGUUCUCUCUGGGAUCUCGUAGUCGUCAAAGUACAGGCAGAGGUGACGUGAUCCCCACGGAAGAAGCGUUGGAAGUUGCAGGGCUGUGGGUCAGCAUUGUCUAAGGUUAUGGAAUAAUCUUGGUUACAGUCACCAUGAUGUGGUUGGGAGAGGCACGAAACCUGCAUCGGACAGCGCGAAGGGGACUGGGCUGUUCCUCCACCUUGAGCCAUGCAGCGUGCAGUGCCCUACCCAGAAUGGUGCCGAAUACUUAGUGUACAUGUAUUCGGCACCUUCUGGGUAGCGUAAUGCUCAACACGAACGACGUUCCUAUUGGCCUUAUGACCAGUGUUUAGAGUGGAGCUUCAGGUGUUGUUGAGCUUCCUGCCUUGACCUCAGAAGGGCCUUGCAUCCACCUGCAUCACAGCCUUCCUCAGGAUGAUUGCUGUUUUCCGUUCCUAACGUUUUGAACACCUACAGGUUAGAAAAGAUGAAGAUUAUUCCUCAUAGCAGAAUAGAAAAGUGGAGGAAGCUUGUCCUCUCUCGAUCCACAUCUUCUUCCAGGUAAACAUGUAGCAGGUGGUCCGAUCCCCACUGAGGAAGAGAAUCAAGUUAAAUGGCAGUGAAGAUUUGCUAGGGUUGGGGAAAUAUUUUGUGUACAGUCAACAUGUUGUGCUGGGAGAGAAUGAAAGCUUCACCUGAGAGUGUGAGAAGGACUGGGCAGAUCCUCCACCCUGAGCCAUGCUGUAUGCAGUGCCCUGCCCAGAAGGUACUUAUCACUUAGCCUACGUGUAAUUAGUACCUGUCCGGGUAGAGUAAUGCUCAAGCAGACCAUCAAUUUUGGAGGCCUUCUGACCGGUGAUGGAGAUGGAGAAGCAGAUGCACGUGUCCUUCAGUUGUGUGCCUUGAACUCAGGAUGGCCCUGACAGCCACGUGGGUUUGAUCACAGGUGUCCUCAAAAUGAUUGCUUUCAUUCAUUCCUAACAAUGUUAACACCUAGAGGUGGGAGCAAAUUAAGUGUCUUCCCAAUAGAAAGUAGGCACAAGCUUGUUCUCUCUGGGUCCUCAUUGUUAUUCAGGGAAACCUAAAGCAGGUGUGGUGAUGCCCACUCAGAACUGGAAGUAAGUUGGAGGGCAUUGGGUCGACGCUUUCUAGGCUUAUGGUAAAUUCUUGGGAACAGUCAUGAUGUGGUGGGGACGAAGAGGAAAUCAACCUUUGAGAGUGCGAGGGGCAUUGGGUUUGACCUGCACCUUGAGCUAUGCUGUAUUCAAUGCAUUGCCCAGAAUGGUGCUGAUUAUUUUGAAUAUGUGUAGUCGGUGCCUUCUAGAUAGGGUGAUGCUUGUUACAAGCAAUGUUUUGCUGACUUGUAUAGGUGAUGGGAAUAGAGCUUCAAGUGUUGUUGAGCCUCCUGCGUUGGCUUCAGGAAGGUCUUGGCAUCAAUGUAGAUCUCAGGCAUCCCCAAGAUGAUUGCUGUGGUCGAUUGCUAAAAAUGUGUACACCUGCAAGUUAGAGAAGAUGAAGAUGAUUUCUAAUAGAAGAAUGGAGAACUGGAGGAAGGUUUUUCUUUCUGGGUCCUCAUAGUCAUUUGGGUAGAGAGCACUGAGCAGACCCCAAGCAGGAAGAGAAUCAAAUUGGAAGGCAGUGUGUCAGUGUUUUCCAGGAUUAUGAAAAGUCAUGUGUACAGUCAUCAUGUUGUGAUGAGAGAGACCAAGGCCACAUUUGAAUGUGUGAGGUGGAUUAUUCAGGUCCCAGCUAUUUAGCCACGAUGUGUGCAGUGUCCUACCCAGAAAUGUACUGAUCACCUAGACUACGUGUAUUUGGUGCCUUUCUGGGUAGAGUGAUGCUCAACAGGAACAACAUUGGUGGCAGCCAGUACCAGUGAUAGGAGUGGAGCUGUGGGUAUCGUUGAGCUGGCCUGCCUUGCACUCAGGAGGGCCCUGACAGCCACCUGGAUCUCAGGCAUCCUCAAGAUGAUUUCAGUGGGCCAUUCCUACCAGCGUGCUCUCGUACAGGUUAGAGGAGAUGGAAAGACUUUGUAAUAGAAGAAGUAGGGACAAGCUUGCUCUGUGUGGCUCCUCUUAGUCAUCUGCUAAACAUAGAGCAGUUGAGGGGAUUCUCACUAUGGGAAGGUUGCUGUUGGAGGGCAAUGGGUCUUCACUGUCUAGGGUUAUAGAAAACCUUGGCUGCAGUCACUGUGACAUGCUUGGGACACAGAGGUGAAAGGUACUUUUGAAGAUGUGAGGAGAACUGGGCAGAUACUCCAUUUUGAUCCAUUCUGUGUGCAGUGCCCUACCCAGCAAGGUACUGAUCACUUAGACGAGGUAUGAUCAGUGCCUGUCUGGGUGGAGUAAUGCUCAACAAGAACAACAUUUGGGAGGGUCUUCAGACUGGUGCUGGGGAAGGAGAUGGAUGUGUCUGUAAGGUGCCUGCCUCCAACUCUGGGGGGUCGUGCAGCCUCCCUGGUUGGAUCUCAGGUAUCGAAAUGAUGAUUUCUCUGGUCAAUUUCUAAUAAUAUCAACCCUGUGUUUGUCCAAGCUGAUGAAGAUACUGGCUUAGAGAAACGUAAAUUUCAUAUGACAGCACGAAGGGCAUUGUGGCGAUCCUCCGGCUUGAAGCCAUGCUUCAUGCAAUCUCCAGCCCACAGUGGCGCUCCUCAUUACGACUACAUGGAAUUGUUACCAGUCUGGGACGAGUGAUGCUAAGCCAAACGACGUUUGUGGCGGGCUUUGUAUGAGUGCUGAGGUUGGAGGUGGGUCCUUGAGCUGCCUAACUUGAACUCACUAGGGCCAUGGCUGCCAACUGAAUCCCCUGCAUCCACCAUAUCAUUUCAUUGCUACACUCGUAAUAAUGUGAAUGUUUAGAUGUCAGAGUAGAUGAAGUUAUUUCCUAGGAGAAGAAGAGAAAAUAGGAGCAAGCUUGUUCCCUCUUGGAUCUCGUGAUCAUCCAGUAACCCUGGAUAUGGUGAGAGGAUUCUCACUAAUGGAGGGUUGCGAGUCAGAAGGUAGUGAGUUGUCAUUUUCUAUGGUUAUCUAAACAUCUUGGGUACAAUCAUCAUGAUGUGGAGAGGAGAGAGAUGGAAUCUACAUUUGAGAAUGCAUGUAGGACUGGGCAGCUUGUCCACCUUGAUCCAUGCUGUGCGUUGUGCCCUGCCUGAAGGAUGCCGAUUACUUAGACUAGGUUUAAUUGGUGUCUUCUUGGUUGAGUGAUGAUCAUUAAGAAAAACUGUUGUCGUAGCCCUAGGACCAGUAAUUGCGGUGGAGGUGCAACAGUCCUUGAGCUUCCCUUCUUGAACCCACCUGGAUCUCACUCAUCCUCAAGACCUUUAGGGUCUAACUAUGCCAUGGGCCAAUGAGGGUUAUCCCAAUUGAUAUCAGAAUGCAUUCUCAUAAUGUAUCUUGCUCAGCCUCUAAAUACCGAGUAAAGGAAACAAUCUUGGUUUUGGGUUUUGUGGGAGAAAUUUGCAAGUUUCUUCAUUGAUACCUGGAAAAGAUGUGAUAGGUUUAUAUGUAACCAUCAUAUUUUUAGAUUUUAUUGAUAUGUUUUAUAAUUUUGUAUAUUUAUCGUUUUUUCUGAUAAGUGGUUUUCUUGUGAACAUGCCUUCUAAUUUUUUUCUAUUUUUCACCCGUCCAUUUUACUCUUGACACUAAUUGCUGUUCUAGUUGUAUGUGGUUCUGAAAUUGUUUUCAGUGAAAUUUUAUUUCACGUAAUCUCUCUCUGAAUGCUUUAAGUAAUUAGCAAUCUUGAAGUUUUCUCUUGCAAAGGUUUAUUUUAUUCAGAGAUCUAAGCUCUAAAAUAAUGAUUUGAAAUGGCUUUGUGUCCUCAUCCAGGUUUGCUAUGAGCUCUUCGUAAAACAGUAAUUUCUAGAGAAAUUUAGGUAUGAGUAAUCGAUAGUUUAACUAAUGUUAAUAAUCAGAUAUAUGUUUUUUUAUUAAGAGAAAUGUUUUCGUUAUGGUCAAAUAAGAAAAUAUAUAUGAGAAAAAUCUGCAUGAAAUUCUGAAUUCUAUUACCUCAUUGCUGAAUAUGCGUGUUCCCUUUAUAGCCACCGUCUUGAGGGUGUCUUGGUUGCUUGCUUAUGUCCAAACUUAUCAAGCUGUAUGCACUAACCGGGUGCAGUUUUUGGUAUAUCAAUUAUACCUCAAUAAAGCUGUUAAAAAAAGAAAGAAAAACAAAGUAUAUUACCUCCUAAAUAAGCAUUCCUUCAGCAAGUGAAUUAUGAUUACUACUGCCAUCACCCCUGCUGCUGCUCCUCUGAGUUUAACUAGUACUGAUCCUACUCCUGCUCUGUUUAUUUGGAGCACAGACAACACUUUACGUGGUCACCUUUUAACAGGGUGGUAUCCCUGGCAAUAUUCAUGGCUAUAGGACCUGGCUAUAUCACAUAUGACAUAACUUUUUUAAGAAAUAAUGUUGUUCUGUUGAUACAUAUGGAUAUUUUAAAAUUCUCAGCAAGUUGAGUAAAAUGAGGAAAUGAUUUUGAUAAUUUAAUAAUACCGUGUAAGGAUCAUGCUCUUCUAGAACACAUAUUUCGCCAAUUCCGUAUGCUUGGUGUUCAUCACACAGCUAUAUUUUUCAUGUUACACGAAAGAUGUAGAUACCCAUGUUUAACUGUAAUUUCCAGGGCAUAAUGGUUCAUUUCUGUUUCAUAUAUUUAUUGAUAUAUAUAUAUAUAUUUAAUUUGCUUAUUCUUUAGAACACUUCAUUUAUAUUCAUGCCUGGAUAGAUUCAUUUUCAUUCAAUUCAAGCCUUGAAGACUGAGGGAACACAUUGUGGAGGGUAUAGGUUAAUGGCUACAAAUGACAAAAAAUUUUGAUUUUUUCAGCCACAAUUUCAAAUUAUACAGUAGGGCUUUAUCCAUGCCUCUGUUGCUUUGAACUCAGCUUCUCUUCUUCAUCCAUGUUGACACUCUUCAGAUGAUUGCAUUUUAUAUUGAUAUGCAUUUUGGUUCCUGCUAUUGUUAUCACUCAAUUAUUAUCUUCUUUGUUUAGGUCACUCUUGAGUUUCACCAGGUUAGACCUGAUUGCACUGCUGAUUUUAAAGUUGUAAAAGAAGCAACAUUUUGUUUGUACUACCUGGAGUAAGGUUGCUUCCAGUUGAUGCAGUUCCUUUUCCUUGCCACUGGGACCCAAGACACCUGGAGAACUCUAGCAUGAAUGAUGGGCAGGGGCAGAGUAAAAUUGCUUUUCACUUAAAUGCAGGAUUUCUUUGUUUACGUGUGAGGAAUUUGCUUUGAUAGUGGUGGAAAUUAAUGAUAUGAGAAUAUAGUCAUUGAUGUGUCUUUCACUAGGUUACAGAAACAUUUAGAAUAUAUCUCCUCACCUUUAACACCAAUUCUAUAAUUAAUAACAAUUUUUAUGAUGAAGUGUGUUGAGGAUGAAUUUAACAUGUGAAUGAAAUCUAAGCACCCGGAUUGGCAGGUAAGUUAGCAUUAAGCCAGUGUUAAAGAUGGUCGUUAUUAGUGUUUAAUAAUUAUGGCUGUCUUAACAUUAAAAUUUAUGACCGUUUUCUUACAGAUAGGAAGCACUGGUGAGAGUAAAGUUAAGAGACUUGGUUAUUUCCCCCAUAGAAAGAGAGUUGAAUAUUCAUGUUGGAGUUUUUUGUAUUAUUUUUUCAUGAUAAAAAUAUUUUUGUCUCACAGUGACCAGAGAAUCAAAGAGAUAUAUGUGGAUAGAUCUGCAUAUUCCACAUUUACAUUUUAAUAGUGUUUACUUUGUUAAACCUUAAUGUUCAAAUCCAUUUUCUCCUUUUGAACAAACAUAUACUGUGGUGUUUAACUUUGUGUGUCAUCUUGGCCAGGCUGUGGUACCCAAAUUUGGUCAAACACGAGUAUAGAUGUUGCUGUGAAUUAGGAUUCAAAUCAGUAGACUUUAAGUAAGGCAGAUUACCCUCUAUAGUGUGGGUGAGCCACAUCCAAACAGUUGAAGGCCAGGUCCCCCAAGGGAGAGGAGAUUCUGCCUCCAGACUGCCACAGGGACUCGAGAUGCAACAUCAGCUCUUCCCUGGGUCUCCACUCUGCCAGGCUGCUCUGCAGAUUUCAGACUUACCAGCCCAAACAAUCACGUGAGCCAAUUCCUUCAAAUAAAUCUCUUUUUCUCUCACUCUCCUCUUUAUGUUUGUGUGUGUAAAUCUGAUUGGUCCUGUUUCUCUGGAGAACCCUAAUACAUAUUCCAUGUCAUCUUAAAAGAAGCUGACAAGGGGCCAGCCCAUUGGUGUAGUGGUUAAGUUCACACACACUGCUUCGGUGGCCAGGGGUUCGUGGGUUUGGAUCCCAGGCCAAGCCUACACACCACUUGUCAAGCCAUGCUAUGGUGGUGUCCCAUAUACAAAAUAGAGGAAGAUUGACACAGCUGAUAGUUCAGGGAAAAUCUUCCUCAAGCAAAAAGAGGAAGAUUGGCAACAGAUAUUAGCUCAGGGCCAGUCUUCCUCACCCCCUCCCAAAACAAGAAAGAAAAAGAAAAGAAACUGACAUGUAUUUCUGUGAGUAUGUGUAAUGUGGCUUCAUUUUUCAACAGAUGGGAUUAUGCCCUGAGCUUUGUGUAAUAUGGUGAAACCAUGAGUGUGAAAAAGACUGAUAUCCUACUACAUCAAAUGCUUUUUCUGGUUAAAGUUUAAAAUGUAACUAUUUCAUGGUAUCAACUUUAAGGUUCCAAAAGUAUUUUCAGAUGUUGCCUCAUGACAAAUCAGGGCUGUAGAGUUACUAAAAGUUUAUUCAGUUCUGGGUUGUGAGUGUCUAACCACAGAAAUGUUUCAUGUACCUUGUCUCCCAGAAGUGUUGGAAAUAGGAUCUAGAAGCCUGAAGUGAGACAUAUGGCCAUCUGGCCAGUGCUGCCACCAUUAAGAAGCCAAACAGCCUCUCAGAUAAUGAAUUGCAAUAUCUUGUGGAGUUUAUCAGCUAUUUGUCAAGUUACCAAAAAGUUCCCACAGAGAUUUUAAUCUGAUUAUCUUAAAAACAUAGAUGAAAUUGAGAAAAUUCCACAUUUCUACAGUGUCAACUUCAUGUUUGGGAGCAUGGAUGAUUUUUCAGUUUUCUUGAAAUGAACAAUAUCUAAUUUCAAUAUAUUGAGAUAGAAAAAUGAAGUCACAUGUCAUUUCGUUAUAAUCAAUAAGUUCUUUUCAUUGCAAACUCAAACCAGCCAAUCAGCACUACUGCAGGCUGUGCGGGGACUGUGCCCUUCUAAUCCCAUUGACAGUUGAUCCUUUGCACCUAUGAUGUUCUUGUGUGUUCAGUAAAUCUGAUGUCAUUGGGGAAAAAAAAGACUAACACACGUUUUGCCUGAGAAUCUAAUGAGAACUUCCAUAUAAAAGUCUCAUAUCACAGGGUCUACCAUGAGCAUCCGUGCUUCUUCAUCCUUUCCUUUUGUUGGUUUAAUGAUAUAGUAUGUAUUUCGGCAGACAUUUCUUCAUGUGCAUAAUAUCCUCCACAGUCCUAUUUUUUCAGGUCCAUAUGUUGGUACAUGUCCUUCCACUGGUUUUUCAACCUUAAACACACAUAAACAUUAUAGUUCCUGGGUUUGCUAUGAGGAUUUCAGAAGAUAAUCCACACUUAGCACAGUUUUUGGAAACUAAACCCUAGCCUCAGUUCUUGAAAUACUGUUGGAGGAAGUCAUCAAGAGUACGUGACUGCCAGUUGACCUGAGAGCUGGACCCAGGCAAUUGGAGGCUCCUUAACUUUCCCCUGCCUUGGGAAUGGACGUUCCACCCACUAUUCCCACUCUUGGAGGCAUUUCAGGGAUGCAGCUUGAGAUAAUAAUGUGUUGUUGAGACCAUCCGGACAGUAUACGCAACUGAACCCAGAAUAGAGAACAAGAUUGGAGAGGCUCUUGUUUCAAUCAUCAAAAGGCCCAAGUUACUUAAUAAUAAAAAUUGUUUUUUCAGUCUAACCUGUGAAAAAUCGCAAAGAUAUAAACUGAAGAAGUUAAUAAUCUUCUUGCACAUCCUUUCUCUUCCACAGUGCAGAUAUUGAAAAGGUACAUACUUGUGAUCCUGGAUAGCAAAACCCAAUGUUAUAUUGAUGUUAUCUUCUCUCAAAUACAUCUACAUUGUUUUGGCAAUUUCAAUUUAACACUCUAUUAUGCCUCUGGAAAUUCGUCAAAGUGAUAUUAAAGUUCAUCUGUAAGACUAAAUGGGUGACGAUGUUUAAAAAUACAAAAUACAAGAAGAGCAAUGAGGUAUAUUUAAAGUAUCAAAUAAAUUGUAUUCUAAAGCUAUAAUGAAUACAGGAAUGCAGCACUGGCACAGAAAUCGACAGAUAGCUGAACUGAUCUUAUUGUUCAGAGUUAAGCAAAUUCACUAAUGUUUUUCCAUAGUCCCUAAAAUAUUGUUGAUAACUUUGCUUCUAGCUAUCUUACAAAUUUUCUUUCUAUUGCAAAUGAACAUAUUUUUCCAUCAUACUAUUUAAUUUCUUAUUGCUGUUAUAUAGGAAAGCUGUUGAUUUCAGUAUAUUUAAUUUUGCUUAUGCACCUAACUGAACUAUCUUAGUAGUGCUCAUCAUUUUCAGUUCAUGCUAGGAUGAUGGUCAUGUUAUCUAUGUCACAGAUCCAGUGUAACAUUAAAACCAAGCCACAGCCUCAUUGUCAUAGUCAGUAAGUGGUAUCUAUUGUCCAAUCACACUCUGUCCUAACUACCCACUAUAGUCUUUUUGACAUGGUUUACUAACCCUAGUAUUUACCAUCAUAUCCCAGAAGACGUGGUUAACGUCUAUAAUCAGUUGACUGUAGGGAAAGUAAAUUACCCUCCAUAAUGUGGAUGGACGUCAUCCAAGCUGUUGAAGGCCUUAAGAACAAGAACUGAAGCUUCUUGGAGGAGAAAUUUUGCCUCAAGACUGCAACCUCAGCUACUAGCCAAGUCUGCUGACCUGCUUUAGACUUCAAAUAUGCCUGCCUCACAAUCUGGAAAGCAUGUAGUGCUGAAGUCCCUGCAGCCUUUUCUGAAGAACCUGUGUAUCCCCACAGUGGAGCCAGCAUUGGGUCACCAGCCACACAGGACAUUUACAACUGACAGAAAACGAAAACUCCGACCAGCUAAAUAAGAACCCAAGGCAGAUGUCAGGCCUGAACUUGGAGAGAAGGAUGAGCACAGGAUAGGGGAGAAGCUUUGUAUUGGAUGUGAGAUUGCAAUUUUAAUUUGGACUGGGCUGGACUUUCGAAUCCCUGAAAGUGAGCCAUGGGAAUUUUUUUUAUAACCCUCUGUGACCAAAACUGUGGAAUCGGUGCUUCCAGUGGUGGAGCAGGGAGGUCCUUCAGAGCAGAGAAGAGAACAGUAUUUGGAGAAAGAUAGAGUCAUUUCCUUUUUGUGUCUUAUCACAGUC
This is a long non-coding RNA of Equus caballus (horse), 21596 nucleotides long. Lineage: Eukaryota; Metazoa; Chordata; Mammalia; Perissodactyla; Equidae. The record is from Ensembl.